Molecule: ribosomal RNA, 252 nt
Filed under: uncultured bacterium
Lineage: Bacteria
Description: partial 16S ribosomal RNA
Rfam family: Bacterial small subunit ribosomal RNA
Source: RNAcentral
GCGAGCCUGUGAAGGUAAGCAAAUCUCAAAAAUAAACGUCUCAGUUCGGAUUGUAGUCUGCAACUCGACUACAUGAAGCUGGAAUCGCUAGUAAUCGCGGAUCAGAAUGCCGCGGUGAAUACGUUCCCGGGUCUUGUACACACCGCCCGUCACACCAUGGGAGUUGGGAAUACCCGAAGCCUGUGAGCUAACUUUUAGAGGCAGCAGUCGAAGGUAGAAUCAAUGAUUGGGGUGAAGUCGUAACAAGGUAUC